This 301-nucleotide ribosomal RNA is filed under the name uncultured bacterium. RNAcentral's name for it is "partial 16S ribosomal RNA". It matches the Rfam family "Bacterial small subunit ribosomal RNA", at positions 509 to 807 of the family's 1533-position model. The record is from RNAcentral.
CAGCAGCCACGGGAAUACGAAGGGGGCUAGCGUUGUUCGGAUUUACUGGGCGUAAAGGGCGCGUAGGCGGGCGAAUAAGUCAGGGGUGAAAUCCCAAGGCUCAACCUUGGAACUGCCUUUGAUACUGUUUGUCUUGAGUUCGAGAGAGGUAAGUGGAACUGCGAGUGUAGAGGUGAAAUUCGUAGAUAUUCGCGAGAACACCAGUGGCGAAGGCGGCUUACUGGCUCGAAACUGACGCUGAGGCGCGAAAGCGUGGGGAGCAAACAGGAUUAGAUACCCGCGUAGUCCCUGUCUCUUAUAC